This 253-nucleotide ribosomal RNA is filed under the name uncultured bacterium. Its description in RNAcentral is "partial 16S ribosomal RNA". It matches the Rfam family "Bacterial small subunit ribosomal RNA", at positions 524 to 776 of the family's 1533-position model. The record is from RNAcentral.
UACGUAGGGGGCAAGCGUUGUCCGGAUUUAUUGGGCGUAAAACGCUCGCAGGUGGUUCGAUGCGUCGUGCGUGAAAGACCCCGGCUCAACUGGGGAGGGUCGUGCGAUACGGUCGAACUGGAGGCCAGUAGGGGGAUGCGGAAUUCCGGGUGUAGUGGUGGAAUGCGUAGAGAUCCGGAGGAACACCAGCGGCGAAGGCGGCAUCCUGGACUGGUCCUGACACUCAGGAGCGAAAGCGUGGGGAGCGAUCCGG